CUACGGGUGGCUCCAGUGGGGAAUAUUGGACAAUGGGGGAAACCCUGAUCCAGCAAUGCCGCGUGUGUGAAGAAGGCCUGCGGGUUGUAAAGCACUUUCGGUUGGGAGGACUGCUUCUAGCACUAAUAUUGUUGGAAGUUGACGUUACCUUCAGAAGAAGCACCGGCUAGCUCCGUGCCAGCAGCCGCGGUAAUACGGAGGGUGCAAGCGUUAAUCGGAAUUACUGGGCGUAAAGCGCGCGUAGGCGGCGAGAUCAGUCGGGUGUGAAAGCCCCGGGCUUAACCUGGGAACUGCAUCCGAUAAUGUCUAGUUGGAGUACAGGAGAGGGGAGUGGAAUUCCACAUGUAGCGGUGAAAUGCGUAGAUAUGUGGAGGAACACCAAUGGCGAAGGCAGCUCUCUGGCCUGAUACUGACGCUGAGGUGCGAAAACGUGGGGAGCAAACAGGAUUAGAUACCCCUGUAGUC
Molecule: ribosomal RNA, 465 nt
Filed under: uncultured bacterium
Lineage: Bacteria
Description: partial 16S ribosomal RNA
Rfam family: Bacterial small subunit ribosomal RNA
Source: RNAcentral